UUGGGUUUUAUUUUUAAAACACUCCAAAUUUUCACACUUUCUUAUUGUAAUCCUUCUUGUCAAUUCCUUAAAUUUAUCACUUCCUAAUGAUUUUGUAAAUAAAUCUGCCAAUUGAUUCAUUUAUAUAUCUUAACUAACUCUCUAACAUAAUGAUAAAGAUCCAUUCAGGUUCCGAUACAAUUACAAGACAUAGAUUAAAAAUAGUCAUCACUCAUCUAUAAGUUAUAGGCAGUUUCGUCGCUCGGAGGAGAUCAGCCGUCACUCAGACCCCUCUGUUGUUUCUUCCACCUAACAUAGAUAAUAAACAAUCUACAUCUGAAUUGCCGCCUAACACAACCGUGUAUGCAAACAACUCCAACAACCAAUUUUGAUAUAUGGGUUGUAGUCAGAGCACCGUUCGAAAACCAAGUUUCAUCUUCGACUCUCAACUGAGACGUAAAUUUUUGGAUGACACCAAUGACGUAGUGGAGAACAUUCCCCGCUUGUUCAAUGUGCUCUCAGAAAGUAGUACGAAGAAAGUAGAGCAGGAGAAUAGAAAGACGAAAGAUAAAAAGUUAUUUGAUACGGAAGAACUUGUUGUAUUUCUAUUCUCCUGCUUUGCUUUCUUGGUACUAAUUUCUGAGAGAACAUUGAACAAGCGGGGAAUGUUGUCCAUGGCUUUCUCGAGCAUGGUACAUAUCUCUAUUACCUCAUUGGUGUCAUACGAGAAUUGACGUACCAGUUUGUUGUUCUUCGUGUUGUCAUGAUUUUGGUCGAAGAAUGCUUCGAACUGCACAUCGUCUCUUUGGAGUUGGACGACGGAAGAUGAAACUUCGUUUCAGACGAUUCACGUUUUG
RNAcentral lists this long non-coding RNA (836 nucleotides) under Zostera marina. Its description in RNAcentral is "long non-coding RNA (ZMAR_LNC003538)". Lineage: Eukaryota; Viridiplantae; Streptophyta; Magnoliopsida; Alismatales; Zosteraceae. The record is from RNAcentral.